RNAcentral lists this ribosomal RNA (433 nucleotides) under uncultured bacterium. RNAcentral's name for it is "partial 16S ribosomal RNA". It matches the Rfam family "Bacterial small subunit ribosomal RNA", at positions 29 to 507 of the family's 1533-position model. The record is from RNAcentral.
AACGAACGCUGGCGGCAUGCCUAACACAUGCAAGUCGAACGAGACCUUCGGGUCUAGUGGCGCACGGGUGCGUAACGCGUGGGAACCUGCCCUUAGGUUCGGAAUAACUCCCCGAAAGGGGUGCUAAUACCGGAUAAUGUCUUCGGACCAAAGAUUUAUCGCCUUUGGAUGGGCCCGCGUUGGAUUAGCUAGUUGGUAGGGUAAAAGCCUACCAAGGCGACGAUCCAUAGCUGGUCUGAGAGGAUGAUCAGCCACACUGGGACUGAGACACGGCCCAGACUCCUACGGGAGGCAGCAGUGGGGAAUAGUGGACAAUGGGCGAAAGCCUGAUCCAGCAAUGCCGCGUGAGUGAUGAAGGCCGUAGGGUUGUAAAGCUCUUUUACCCGGGAUGAUAAUGACAGUACCGGGAGAAUAAGCUCCGGCUAACUCCGUG